CUACGGGAGGCAGCAGUCGGGAAUUUUGGGCAAUGGCCGAAAGGGCUGACCCAGCAACGCCGCGUGAGUGAAGAAGGCCUUCGGGUUGUAAAGCUCUGUUGCUCGUGAAGAACGGUACUUUCAGGAAAUGGGGAGUACUUGACGGUAGCGAGUGAGGAAGCCCCGGCUAACUACGUGCCAGCAGCCGCGGUAAUACGUAGGGGGCGAGCGUUGUCCGGAUUUAUUGGGCGUAAAGGGCGUGUAGGCGGUCUGUUAAGUCGGUGGUGAAACUCCGCAGCUCAACUGCGGACCGGCCUCCGAUACUGGCGGACUUGAGUACUCUAGAGGGCAGUGGAAUUCCCGGUGUAGCAGUGAAAUGCGUAGAGAUCGGGAGGAACACCAGUGGCGAAGGCGGCUGCCUGGGGAGAAACUGACGCUGAGGCGCGAAAGCUGGGGGAGCAAACGGGAUUAGAUACCCCUGUAGUCCC
RNAcentral lists this ribosomal RNA (467 nucleotides) under uncultured bacterium. Its description in RNAcentral is "bacterial SSU rRNA". It matches the Rfam family "Bacterial small subunit ribosomal RNA", at positions 339 to 797 of the family's 1533-position model. The record is from RNAcentral.